AGUGAACGCUGGCGGCGUGCUUAACACAUGCAAGUCGAACGAGAACGGGUUAUAGCUUGCUAUAAUUGUCAGCUAAGUGGCGCACGGGUGAGUAAUGUAUAGGUAAUAUGCCUCUUACUAAGGGAUAACAGUUGGAAACGAUUGCUAAUACCUUAUAUGCCUUUAAGACUAAAGUCUGCAAGGGAAAGAUUUAUUGGUAAGAGAUUAGCCUGUAUUGUAUCAGCUAGUUGGUGAGGUAAUGGCUCACCAAGGCUAUGACGCAUAACUGGUUUGAGAGGAUGAUCAGUCACACUGGAACUGAUACACGGUCCAGACUCCUACGGGAGGCAGCAGUGGGGAAUAUUGCACCAUGGACGAAAGUCUGAUGCAGCAACGCCGCGUGGAGGAUGAAACAUUUCGGUGCGUAAACUCCUUUUAUAUAGGAAGAUAAUGACGGUACUAUAUGAAUAAGCACCGGCUAACUCCGUGCCAGCCGCCGCCGUAA
This 484-nucleotide ribosomal RNA is filed under the name uncultured bacterium. Its description in RNAcentral is "partial 16S ribosomal RNA". It matches the Rfam family "Bacterial small subunit ribosomal RNA", at positions 29 to 523 of the family's 1533-position model. The record is from RNAcentral.